UGUGGCUAACUUGUUUUUUUAAAGUGAAGUUUGAUGAGGUAAGAAAAAUAAUUUUUAUGGUUGUUUGUUAGUAAUUUUUAUUGAAAAUUAGUUAAGAACUAAAGAGAAAAGUACCGUGGGGGAAAGUUUUAAAUAUUAAGUAAAGUAAAAAUGAAAUUUUGUGCCUUGUGUAUCAGAAAAGAUUUAUAUAAUUUAGUUAUAUUAAAGAUCUCGAAAUAAAAUAUAGUGAUUUUUGUAAUAUUUUCUUUUUGGAAAAAAAGAAUUGAAUGCGAAAUUAAAAGUGAAACGCUAGUUGAGUUUUAUGAUAUCUAGUUUUUUUAAAAAUAAAUUUAAUUUGGUUUUUAUAGAGAAAAAGUGUAAAAGCUUAUGGUAGAGGGGAUUAGCUCUUUAUGGAAAAUGAUGAAAAACAGUUAGGUAAGUGGUAAUUUAUAAAUUAGGCUUAGAAGUAGCCAUAUUAAAAAAGUGUUUUAACUAAGUUAUUAUUUUUUUAAUAUUUAAGAUAACUUUUUUGUGGUAUAAAGGAAUUGGUUUAAGUGGGAAAAACUUAAAUAUAAUGAUUUUAUUAGUAAAAUUUAUUUAAAAAAGAAGUAUUUAAAUGUCAUAGAUUGUUUAAAAAAGUUAUAUUAAUAAAAAGGAACUCGGCAAAAAUUUUCUUUGCCUGUUUAUCAAAAACAUGUCUUUUUGGAGUUAAAAAAAGUCAAGCCUGCCCGCUGAUGAGUAUUUUAAGGGCCGCGGUAUUUUGACCGUGCGAAGGUAGCGUAGUCACUAGGUUUUUAAUUGGAAUCUUGUAUGAAUGGUUAGACAAGGGAAAAUCUGUCUCUUUAUUAAAUAUUGAAUUUAACUUUUAAGUGAAAAGGCUUAAAUAAAUUUAAGGGACGAUAAGACCCUAUAAAGCUUAAUAUAAAAUAUCAUUUAACUAAAUUUGAGUAUAAAAGUUUUAUGGUAUAAUUUAUUUUAUUGGGGUGAUAAAGGUAAAAUGAUUGUUAACUGCUUUUAUGAAGAAACAUUUAUAGUUGAAAUAAAUUUGUAAUAGAUCCUAGAUGAAGAUUAAAAGUUCAAGUUACUUUAGGGAUAACAGCGUUAUUUUUUUUGAGAGUACAUAUCGAAAAAAGAGUUUGCGACCUCGAUGUUG
Molecule: ribosomal RNA, 1132 nt
Filed under: Macrophthalmus tomentosus
Lineage: Eukaryota; Metazoa; Arthropoda; Malacostraca; Decapoda; Macrophthalmidae
Description: 16S ribosomal RNA
Source: RNAcentral